UGUCCAGUAGCACCUUAGAGACCAACUAAGUUUGUUCUUGGAAUAAGCUUAUAUCAAGAACAAACUUAGUUGGUCUCUAAGGUGCUACUGGACA
Podarcis lilfordi (Lilford's wall lizard) is the source of this 94-nucleotide non-coding RNA. NCBI's taxonomy places the organism in Eukaryota, Metazoa, Chordata, Lepidosauria, Squamata, Lacertidae. The record is from the annotation of a GenBank genome assembly.